Molecule: ribosomal RNA, 713 nt
Filed under: Lactiplantibacillus plantarum
Lineage: Bacteria; Bacillati; Bacillota; Bacilli; Lactobacillales; Lactobacillaceae
Description: bacterial SSU rRNA
Rfam family: Bacterial small subunit ribosomal RNA
Source: RNAcentral
AGUCGAACGACUCUGGUAUUGAUUGGUGCUUGCAUCAUGAUUUACAUUUGAGUGAGUGGCGAACUGGUGAGUAACACGUGGGAAACCUGCCCAGAAGCGGGGGAUAACACCUGGAAACAGAUGCUAAUACCGCAUAACAACUUGGACCGCAUGGUCCGAGUUUGAAAGAUGGCUUCGGCUAUCACUUUUGGAUGGUCCCGCGGCGUAUUAGCUAGAUGGUGGGGUAACGGCUCACCAUGGCAAUGAUACGUAGCCGACCUGAGAGGGUAAUCGGCCACAUUGGGACUGAGACACGGCCCAAACUCCUACGGGAGGCAGCAGUAGGGAAUCUUCCACAAUGGACGAAAGUCUGAUGGAGCAACGCCGCGUGAGUGAAGAAGGGUUUCGGCUCGUAAAACUCUGUUGUUAAAGAAGAACAUAUCUGAGAGUAACUGUUCAGGUAUUGACGGUAUUUAACCAGAAAGCCACGGCUAACUACGUGCCAGCAGCCGCGGUAAUACGUAGGUGGCAAGCGUUGUCCGGAUUUAUUGGGCGUAAAGCGAGCGCAGGCGGUUUUUUAAGUCUGAUGUGAAAGCCUUCGGCUCAACCGAAGAAGUGCAUCGGAAACUGGGAAACUUGAGUGCAGAAGAGGACAGUGGAACUCCAUGUGUAGCGGUGAAAUGCGUAGAUAUAUGGAAGAACACCAGUGGCGAAGGCGGCUGUCUGGUCUGUAA